AUGGCGCACUCCUGCCUCUCCGCGGCGCGCACGGCGGCCGCGCUGCGCCUCCCGUUCCAGGCCGACCACGCCGCGUCCGCGUUCCACCGCCCGGCGCGCGCGCCGUCGUCCCGUCCGCACGCGCACCGGCUCAUUGCCGCCGUGCCGGUGCCGCGGGGGAGCAGGCGCGCGCUCGCCGUCGUCGCGAUGGCGUCGCAGGAGGAGGCCACGGCUGUCGAGGAGGCGCAGGAGGAAGACGUACAGGAAGAAGCCGCGGGGCAGCCGGAAGAGGAUGAGCCAGCAGCAGGGGAGGUCGAGGAGCAGCAGCCGGAGGAGGAGGAGGAGCAGGGCGCGGCCGCGGAGGCGAGCUCGGAAGGAGGCGAGGAGGCUAGUGGUGAUGGAAGCACUGGCACCGGGAGCAGCGCCACCAAACUCUACUUCGGGAACCUGCCGUACAACUGCGACAGCGCGCUGCUCGCCGGCAUCGUGCAGGACCACGCCGCCCCGGAGAUGGUCGAGGUGCUCUACGACCGGACGACGGGGAGGAGCCGGGGCUUCGCCUUCGUGACAAUGAGCACGCUCGAGGACUGCGAGCGGGUCAUCAAGAACCUCGACGGCACCCUGUACAGCGGGCGCACGAUGAGGGUGAACAUGGCCGACAGGCCGAAGCCGAAGGCGCCGCUGUACCCGGAAACGGAGCACAAGCUCUUCGUCGGCAACCUGUCGUGGACGGUCACCCCGGAGAUGCUCACCGACGCGUUCCAGCGCUGCGGCAACGUGGUGGGCGCCCGGGUGCUCUACGACGGCGAGACCGGCCGGUCCCGCGGCUACGGCUUCGUCUGCUACUCCACCAAGGAGGAGAUGGACCAGGCCAUCGAGACGCUCAACGGAACGGAAAUCGAAGGCAGGGAGAUCCGGGUCAACUUGGCCCUGGGGAAGAGAUACUAG
Molecule: ribosomal RNA, 927 nt
Filed under: Triticum aestivum (bread wheat)
Lineage: Eukaryota; Viridiplantae; Streptophyta; Magnoliopsida; Poales; Poaceae
Description: partial small subunit ribosomal RNA
Source: RNAcentral